CCUACGGGAGGCAGCAGUGAGGAAUAUUGGUCAAUGGGCGAGAGCCUGAACCAGCGAAGUAGCGUGAAGGAUGACUGCCCUACGGGUUGUAAACUUCUUUUAUGAAGGAAUAAAGUGAGGCACGUGUGCCUUAUGGUAUGUACUUUAUGAAUAAGGAUCGGCUAACUCCGUGCCAGCAGCAGCGGUAAUACGGAGGAUCCGAGCGUUAUCCGGAUUUAUUGGGUGUAAAGGGAGCGUAGAUGGGUUGUUAAGUCAGUUGUGAAAGUGUGCGGCUCAACCGUAAAAUUGCAAUUGAUACUGGCAGCCUUGAGUACAGUUGAGGUAGGCGGAAUUCGUGGUGUAGCGGUGAAAUGCUUAGAUAUCACGAAGAACUCCGAUUGCGAAGGCAGCCUACUAGACUGCCACUGACAUUGAUGCUCGAAAGUGUGGGUAUCAAACAGGAUUAGAUACCCCGGUAGUC
Molecule: ribosomal RNA, 460 nt
Filed under: uncultured bacterium
Lineage: Bacteria
Description: partial 16S ribosomal RNA
Rfam family: Bacterial small subunit ribosomal RNA
Source: RNAcentral